This 468-nucleotide ribosomal RNA is filed under the name uncultured bacterium. RNAcentral describes it as "partial 16S ribosomal RNA". It matches the Rfam family "Bacterial small subunit ribosomal RNA", at positions 28 to 507 of the family's 1533-position model. The record is from RNAcentral.
GACGAACGCUGGCGGCGUGCUUAACACAUGCAAGUCGAACGGAAAGGCCCUGCUUUUGUGGGGUGCUCGAGUGGCGAACGGGUGAGUAACACGUGAGUAACCUGCCCUUGACUUUGGGAUAACUUCAGGAAACUGGGGCUAAUACCGGAUAGGAGCUCCUGCUGCAUGGUGGGGGUUGGAAAGUUUCGGCGGUUGGGGCUGGACUCGCGGCUUAUCAGCUUGUUGGUGGGGUAGUGGCUUACCAAGGCUUUGACGGGUAGCCGGCCUGGGAGGGUGACCGGCCACAUUGGGACUGAGAGACGGCCCAGACUCCUACGGGAGGCAGCAGUGGGGAAUAUUGCACAAUGGGCGGAAGCCUGAUGCAGCAACGCCGCGUGCGGGAUGACGGCCUUCGGGUUGUAAACCGCUUUCGCCUGUGACGAAGCGUGAGUGACGGUAAUGGGUAAAGAAGCACCGGCUAACUACGUG